This 500-nucleotide ribosomal RNA is filed under the name uncultured bacterium. Its description in RNAcentral is "partial 16S ribosomal RNA". It matches the Rfam family "Bacterial small subunit ribosomal RNA", at positions 30 to 523 of the family's 1533-position model. The record is from RNAcentral.
AUUGAACGCUGGCGGAAUGCUUUACACAUGCAAGUCGAACGGCAGCACGGACUUCGGUCUGGUGGCGAGUGGCGAACGGGUGAGGAAGAUAUCGGAAGGGGCGCAGUCGUGGGGGAUAACGUAGGGAAAGGUACGCUAAGAGAGCAUACGAUCUAAGGAUGAAAGCGGGGGAUCGCAAGACCUCGCGCGAUUGGAGGGGCGGAUAUCCGAUUAGGUAGUUGGUGGGGUAAAGGCUCACCAAGCCAACGAUCUGUAGCUGGUCUGAGAGGACUACCACCCACACUGUGCCUCCCCCACGCUCCCGUCUCCUACUGGAUGCAGCCGUUGUCCAUUUUGUCCCAUUGACGCACGUCUGAUCCAGCCCUUCCGCGUGCAGGAUGAAGGCCCUCUGGUUGUAAACUGCUUUUGUCCGCACCGCACAUGUCUCCAUUCCUCCUUGGGGCUCAUGACGCUCCUGUAAGAAUAAGCACCGGCUAACUACGUGCCAGCCGCCGCGGUAA